AGCGAACGCUGGCGGCGUGCUUAACACAUGCAAGUCGAACGUGAAAUGUAGCAAUACAGAGUAAAGUGGCGUACGGGUGAGUAACACGUGGGUAAUCUACCAAAGAGCCUGGAAUAACCGACCGAAAGGUUGGCUAAUACUGGAUAGUUCAAAUGAAAUAUAAUGUUUCGAUUGGGAAAGGGAGCGAGCAAUCGCCUUCACUUUUUGAUGAGCCCGCGUCUGAUUAGCUAGUUGGUAGGGUAAUGGCCUACCAAGGCGACGAUCAGUAGCUGGUCUGAGAGGAUGAUCAGCCACACUGGAACUGAAACACGGUCCAGACUCCUACGGGAGGCAGCAGUGGGGAAUCUUGCGCAAUGGACGAAAGUCUGACGCAGCCACGCCGCGUGAGUGAAGAAGGCCUUCGGGUUGUAAAGCUCUGUCGGAAGGGACAAAAACGUUUAAGGUUAAUAGCCUUAGAUCUUGAUGGUACCUUCAAAGGAAGCACCGGCUAACUUCGUGCCAGCAGCCGCAGUAA
This 514-nucleotide ribosomal RNA is filed under the name uncultured bacterium. Its description in RNAcentral is "partial 16S ribosomal RNA". It matches the Rfam family "Bacterial small subunit ribosomal RNA", at positions 29 to 523 of the family's 1533-position model. The record is from RNAcentral.